Molecule: non-coding RNA, 92 nt
Organism: Cantharellus anzutake
Lineage: Eukaryota; Fungi; Basidiomycota; Agaricomycetes; Cantharellales; Hydnaceae
Source: the annotation of a RefSeq genome assembly
GGUGAGAUGGCCGAGUGGUCUAAGGCGCUGUGUUCAGGUUUUGGUUAUAGCCUCGCAGUCUUCGGGCGUGGGUUCGAAUCCCACUCUCAUCA